Molecule: ribosomal RNA, 385 nt
Filed under: uncultured alveolate
Lineage: Eukaryota
Description: partial Eukaryotic large subunit ribosomal RNA
Rfam family: Eukaryotic large subunit ribosomal RNA
Source: RNAcentral
ACCGUCGUGAGACAGGUUAGUUUUACCCUACUGAUGAAACUGUCGUCGCAAUAGUAAUGCAACUUAGUACGAGAGGAACCGUUGUUUCACAUAAUUGGUAUUUUCGGUUAGCUGAAAAGCUAGUGCCGAGAAGCUACCAUGUGCAGGAUUAUGACUGAACGCCUCUAAGUCAGAAUCCGUGCUAGAAAGCGACGAUGCCUCCUCUCCCCCCGGUGUGACGCGAGUACGCGUAGGGGCUUCGGCCUCCAGUACCGUAAAGUUGCGGAGAAGCAGCCGCUGGCAAGACGUGCCGGUCGGUGGACUCUCCGAAUCCCACUGCGAAUGCCGGGGGGGACGAAUCCUCUGCAGACGACUUUGACAGGAACAAGGUAUUGUAAGUAGUAGA